Molecule: small nucleolar RNA, 138 nt
Organism: Tachyglossus aculeatus (Australian echidna)
Lineage: Eukaryota; Metazoa; Chordata; Mammalia; Monotremata; Tachyglossidae
Source: RefSeq, a predicted model, not a curated record
CCCCUCUCAGGGUUACACCUGGAAAGUUUCCAGUACUAUUCUGGUCUCUACUAAGGGAGGGAGAGUCAAGCAGAGGUCUACCCAUUCCAUUCCUAGCUUGGGCAGUGGCUAGUAAGUGGAAGGCAAUCUGCUACAAGU